Molecule: ribosomal RNA, 1002 nt
Filed under: Bacillus licheniformis
Lineage: Bacteria; Bacillati; Bacillota; Bacilli; Caryophanales; Bacillaceae
Description: bacterial SSU rRNA
Rfam family: Bacterial small subunit ribosomal RNA
Source: RNAcentral
UGUGAGUCUGAGCGCGACCGACGCGGUAGCUUGCUCCCUUAGGUCAGCGGCGGACGGGUGAGUAACACGUGGGUAACCUGCCUGUAAGACUGGGAUAACUCCGGGAAACCGGGGCUAAUACCGGAUGCUUGAUUGAACCGCAUGGUUCAAUCAUAAAAGGUGGCUUUUAGCUACCACUUGCAGAUGGACCCGCGGCGCAUUAGCUAGUUGGUGAGGUAACGGCUCACCAAGGCGACGAUGCGUAGCCGACCUGAGAGGGUGAUCGGCCACACUGGGACUGAGACACGGCCCAGACUCCUACGGGAGGCAGCAGUAGGGAAUCUUCCGCAAUGGACGAAAGUCUGACGGAGCAACGCCGCGUGAGUGAUGAAGGUUUUCGGAUCGUAAAACUCUGUUGUUAGGGAAGAACAAGUACCGUUCGAAUAGGGCGGCACCUUGACGGUACCUAACCAGAAAGCCACGGCUAACUACGUGCCAGCAGCCGCGGUAAUACGUAGGUGGCAAGCGUUGUCCGGAAUUAUUGGGCGUAAAGCGCGCGCAGGCGGUUUCUUAAGUCUGAUGUGAAAGCCCCCGGCUCAACCGGGGAGGGUCAUUGGAAACUGGGGAACUUGAGUGCAGAAGAGGAGAGUGGAAUUCCACGUGUAGCGGUGAAAUGCGUAGAGAUGUGGAGGAACACCAGUGGCGAAGGCGACUCUCUGGUCUGUAACUGACGCUGAGCGCGAAAGCGUGGGGAGCGAACAGGAUUAGAUACCCUGGUAGUCCACGCCGUAAACGAUGAGUGCUAAGUGUUAGAGGGUUUCCGCCCUUUAGUGCUGCAGCAAACGCAUUAAGCACUCCGCCUGGGGAGUACGGUCGCAAGACUGAAACUCAAAGGAAUUGACGGGGGCCCGCACAAGCGGGGGGAGCAUGUGUUUAAUUCGAAGCAACGCCGAAAACCUUACCAGUCUUGACAUCCUUCUGACAACCCUAAAGAAAGGGCUUCUCCCUUCGGGGGCAAAAGGA